UACGUAGGAUGCAAGCGUUGUCCGGAAUUACUGGGCGUAAAGGGUGCGUAGGCGGCGCGGUAAGUCGGGUGUGAAAUCUCGGGGCUUAACUCCGAAACUGCAUUCGAUACUGCCGUGCUUGAGGACUGGAGAGGAGACUGGAAUUUACGGUGUAGCGGUGAAAUGCGUAGAUAUCGUAAGGAAGACCAGUGGCGAAGGCGGGUCUCUGGACAGUUCCUGACGCUGAGGCACGAAGGUCAGGGGAGCAAACGGG
This 253-nucleotide ribosomal RNA is filed under the name uncultured bacterium. RNAcentral's name for it is "partial 16S ribosomal RNA". It matches the Rfam family "Bacterial small subunit ribosomal RNA", at positions 524 to 776 of the family's 1533-position model. The record is from RNAcentral.